UUGGUACUCCCUCCGUCCUAAAUUACUUGUCGCAGAAAUGGAUGUAUCUAGAUGUAUUUAUAGUUCUAGAUACAUCCAUUCUUAUCCAUUUAUGUGACAAGUAAUUCGGGACGGAGAGAGUAUUUA
Non-coding RNA from Triticum urartu, 126 nucleotides. The record is from Rfam. NCBI's taxonomy places the organism in Eukaryota, Viridiplantae, Streptophyta, Magnoliopsida, Poales, Poaceae.